Molecule: ribosomal RNA, 449 nt
Filed under: uncultured Arcobacter sp.
Lineage: Bacteria; Pseudomonadati; Campylobacterota; Epsilonproteobacteria; Campylobacterales; Arcobacteraceae
Description: bacterial SSU rRNA
Rfam family: Bacterial small subunit ribosomal RNA
Source: RNAcentral
AGCAUGUGGUUUAAUUCGAAGAUACGCGAAGAACCUUACCUGGCCUUGACAUUGAUAGAAUCUGGUAGAGAUACUGGAGUGCUAGCUUGCUAGAACUUGAAAACAGGUGCUGCACGGCUGUCGUCAGCUCGUGCCGUGAGAUGUUGGGUUAAGUCCCGCAACGAGCGCAACCCUCGUCGUUAGUUGCUAACAGUUAGGCUGAGAACUCUAACGAGACUGCCUUCGUAAGGAGGAGGAAGGUGAGGACGACGUCAAGUCAUCAUGGCCCUUACGGCCAGGGCUACACACGUGCUACAAUGGGGUGUACAGAAAGCUGCAAUAUCGCGAGAUGGAGCAAAUCUCAAAAACACCUCCCAGUUCGGAUUGUUCUCUGCAACUCGAGAACAUGAAGUUGGAAUCGCUAGUAAUCGUAGAUCAGCAUUCGCUACGGUGAAUACGUUCCCGGUCUU